AUCAAUUCUUGGCUUUUUGGCUAGUCAACUGUAGAAUAUGUUCUUAUCAGUUUAAUAAUUGAUACUUCCUCUAUCUGAGGACAAAUAAAAAUGAUAAUUCCUGGGGGGCUGGGUGGUGGCACACUCACUUAAUUGCACACAGUUA
Molecule: small nuclear RNA, 145 nt
Organism: Erinaceus europaeus (western European hedgehog)
Lineage: Eukaryota; Metazoa; Chordata; Mammalia; Eulipotyphla; Erinaceidae
Gene: U2
Rfam family: U2 spliceosomal RNA
About the family: U2 is a small nuclear RNA (snRNA) component of the spliceosome (involved in pre-mRNA splicing).
Source: Ensembl